RNAcentral lists this transfer RNA (69 nucleotides) under Thayeria boehlkei. RNAcentral's name for it is "tRNA-Gly". It matches the Rfam family "tRNA". From Rfam's summary of the family: Transfer RNA (tRNA) molecules are approximately 80 nucleotides in length. Their secondary structure includes four short double-helical elements and three loops (D, anti-codon, and T loops). The record is from RNAcentral. Lineage: Eukaryota; Metazoa; Chordata; Actinopteri; Characiformes; Characidae.
AUCUUUCUAGUAUCAAUAGUACAAAUGACUUCCAAUCAUUUAGUCUUGGUUAGAAUCCAAGGAAAGAUA